UCAAGACUUAGGAGACUUCUCACAUUAUAGCUUUUUUUUUUUCUCUUUAAAGAAUUAUUUUUUGAAAUUACCAAAUAAAAAGCAUAGUGUAACAUGGCCUUCAACAGAGUCUGAGUUGAUGGGGGAACAUCCAGAGAUCUUGGAGACCAUGCCGCAGUGCCUUCUGGGAACUCUAUAAGCCAUCUCAGAGACAAGCCUUCACCUUCACACCUGCCAAUAGAUGCUGCACAUGCCCAGCUCACUGGAUAGUUCCGUGUCUAAGACGUCUGGGGUCCACCCACUGAGUCUUUUCUCUUUCCAACAUUACUAUUUUGUUUAGGAAAAUAUUGUUUUAUUUGGACAAACAGUCUAACCUGAAGUAAGAAAACAGUCAACGUGUCUGUGACUAAACUUGACUUAGUCAGGAUUUCUAUUGCUGCCAUGAAACACCAUGAGCAAAAGCAAGUUGGGAAGAAAAGGGUUUGUUUGGUUUACACUUCUACAUUGUAGUCUACCAUUGAAGGAAGCCAGGACAGGAACUCAAUCAGAUUAAGCUCCUGCCUCCUAGAGGCAGGAGCUGACCCAGACGCCAUGGAGGAGAACUGCUUACCGCUUGUUCAUCACAGCUUGCUCAGCCUGCUUAAAGAGCCCAGGACCACCAGUCCGGGAGGGGCCCCACCCAUAGUGAGUUGGGCUCUCCCCCUUCAAUCACUAAUUAAGAAAAUAUC
RNAcentral lists this long non-coding RNA (707 nucleotides) under Cricetulus griseus (Chinese hamster). Its description in RNAcentral is "lncRNA (ENSCGRG00015030460.1)". Lineage: Eukaryota; Metazoa; Chordata; Mammalia; Rodentia; Cricetidae. The record is from RNAcentral.